Molecule: ribosomal RNA, 1020 nt
Filed under: sordariomycete sp. HKU(M) 17516
Lineage: Eukaryota; Fungi; Ascomycota; Sordariomycetes
Description: SSU rRNA
Rfam family: Eukaryotic small subunit ribosomal RNA
Source: RNAcentral
AAUGGCUCAAUAAAUCAGUUAUCGUUUAUUUGAUAGUACCUUACUACUUGGAUAACCGUGGUAAUUCUAGAGCUAAUACAUGCUAAAAAUCCCGACUUCGGAAGGGAUGUAUUUAUUAGAUUAAAAACCAAUGCCCUCCGGGGCUCCCUGGUGAUUCAUGAUAACUUCUCGAAUCGCAUGGCCUUGUGCCGGCGAUGGUUCAUUCAAAUUUCUGCCCUAUCAACUUUCGACGGCUGGGUCUUGGCCAGCCGUGGUGACAACGGGUAACGGAGGGUUAGGGCUCGACCCCGGAGAAGGAGCCUGAGAAACGGCUACUACAUCCAAGGAAGGCAGCAGGCGCGCAAAUUACCCAAUCCCGACACGGGGAGGUAGUGACAAUAAAUACUGAUACAGGGCUCUUUUGGGUCUUGUAAUUGGAAUGAGUACAAUUUAAAUCCCUUAACGAGGAACAAUUGGAGGGCAAGUCUGGUGCCAGCAGCCGCGGUAAUUCCAGCUCCAAUAGCGUAUAUUAAAGUUGUUGCAGUUAAAAAGCUCGUAGUUGAACCUUGGGCCUGGCUGGCCGGUCCGCCUCACCGCGUGCACUGGUCCGGCCGGGCCUUUCCCUCUGGGGAACCGCAUGCCCUUCACUGGGUGUGCCGGGGAACCAGGACUUUUACUUUGAAAAAAUUAGAGUGUUCAAAGCAGGCCUAUGCUCGGAUACAUUAGCAUGGAAUAAUAAAAUAGGACGUGCGGUUCUAUUUUGUUGGUUUCUAGGACCGCCGUAAUGAUUAAUAGGGACAGUCGGGGGCAUCAGUAUUCAAUUGUCAGAGGUGAAAUUCUUGGAUUUAUUGAAGACUAACUACUGCGAAAGCAUUUGCCAAGGAUGUUUUCAUUAAUCAGGAACGAAAGUUAGGGGAUCGAAGACGAUCAGAUACCGUCGUAGUCUUAACCAUAAACUAUGCCGACUAGGGAUCGGACGAUGUUAUUCUUUGACUCGUUCGGCACCUUACGCGAAAGCACAAGUUUCUGGAUUCUGGGGGG